AGUGAACGCUGGCGGUAGGCCUAACACAUGCAAGUCGAACGGCAGCACAGUAAGAGCUUGCUCUUACGGGUGGCGAGUGGCGGACGGGUGAGGAAUACAUCGGAAUCUACUUUUUCGUGGGGGAUAACGUAGGGAAACUUACGCUAAUACCGCAUACGACCUACGGGUGAAAGCAGGGGAUCUUCGGACCUUGCGCGAUUGAAUGAGCCGAUGUCGGAUUAGCUAGUUGGCGGGGUAAAGGCCCACCAAGGCGACGAUCCGUAGCUGGUCUGAGAGGAUGAUCAGCCAGACUAGAACUGAGACACGGUCCAGACUCCUACGGGAGGCAGCAGUGGGGAAUAUUGGACAAUGGGCGCAAGCCUGAUCCAGCCAUACCGCGUGGGUGAAGAAGGCCUUCGGGUUGUAAAGCCCUUUUGUUGGGAAAGAAAAGCAGCAGGUUAAUACCCCGCUGUUCUGACGGUACCCAAAGAAUAAGCACCGGCUAACUUCGUG
RNAcentral lists this ribosomal RNA (492 nucleotides) under uncultured bacterium. RNAcentral describes it as "partial 16S ribosomal RNA". It matches the Rfam family "Bacterial small subunit ribosomal RNA", at positions 29 to 507 of the family's 1533-position model. The record is from RNAcentral.